GUAAACCCAAGGUUUCCAGGGGAAGGUUCGUCCGCCCUGGGUUAGUCGGGACCUAAGCUGAGGCCGAAAGGCGUAGGUGAUGGACAACAGGUUGAUAUUCCUGUACUACCGAUAACCGUUUGAGAGAUGGGAUGACACAGUAGGAUAAGCUAAGCACACUGUUGGUUAUGUGUGCCCAAGCAUUGAGGCAGUCAGAGUAGGUAAAUCCGCUUUGACAAUGCUGGGAUGUGAUGGGGAGCGAAAUUUAGUAGCGAAGUAGCUGAUUUCACACUGUCAAGAAAAGUCUCUAUCGAGGUUAAAGGUACCCGUACCGCAAACCGACACAGGUGGGUGAGGAGAGUAUCCUAAGGCCCGCGAGAGAACUGUUGUUAAGGAACUCGGCAAAAUGACCCCGUAACUUAGGGAUAAGGGGUGCCACCAUACGGUGGCCGCAGAGAAUAGGCCCAAGCGACUGUUUACCAAAAACAUAGGUUUCUGCUAAGUCGCAAGACGAUGUAUAGGAGCUGACGCCUGCCCGGUGCUGGAAGGUUAAGGGGAUCUGUUAGAGCAAUCGAAGCAGUGAACUUAAGCCCCAGUAAACGGCGGCCGUAACUAUAACGGUCCUAAGGUAGCGAAAUUCCUUGUCGGGUAAGUUCCGACCCGCACGAAAGGCGUAACGAUUUGGGCACUGUCUCAACAACAGACUCGGUGAAAUUGUAAUUCCGGUGAAGAUGCCGGAUACCUGCGACAGGACGGAAAGACCCCAUGGAGCUUUACUGUAGCUUGACAUUGGGUCUUGGUACUACAUGUACAGGAUAGGUGGGAGGCUUUGAAACCAGGACGCCAGUUUUGGCGGAGCCAUCCUUGGGAUACCACCCUUGUAGUACUGGGACUCUAACCAUAGGCCAUGAAUCUGGUCUUGGGACACUGUCAGGUGGGCAGUUUGACUGGGGCGGUCGCCUCCCAAAAGGUAACGGAGGCGCUCAAAGGUUCUCUCAGUACGGUCGGAAAUCGUACGUAGAGUGUAAAGGCAA
Molecule: ribosomal RNA, 1013 nt
Filed under: Clostridioides sp. ZZV14-5902
Lineage: Bacteria; Bacillati; Bacillota; Clostridia; Peptostreptococcales; Peptostreptococcaceae
Description: partial 23S ribosomal RNA
Rfam family: Bacterial large subunit ribosomal RNA
Source: RNAcentral